Molecule: long non-coding RNA, 2418 nt
Organism: Cyanistes caeruleus (blue tit)
Lineage: Eukaryota; Metazoa; Chordata; Aves; Passeriformes; Paridae
Source: RefSeq, a predicted model, not a curated record
CUGGUGCAAACUCCUUUCCCUCUCUUGUUCUCACUGACUGAACAUAAGCUUCCAGUGCACCGCUGAAAAAAAAAAAAAAAGUAAAGCAGCUAAAGCAAUUAAAUACUGUAAAUUCAGGAUCUGCAACAGAAAUUAAUUGCCUUCUUCCCUCCUGCAGAAUUUUCCUCAGAUGGUCCUACUUGUCUGUGGAAGGAAGUGAGCAAGGAAGGCCUUGUAAAGCUUUGUAUAAUUGUUCUAUGAUCUUUAUCUCCUUUCUUGCACGUUUGAAGAGCAAACAAGUUAACAUUUAAAUAAGCAGCAGCAUGUUGCAGAUGGCUUGAAAUGACAGCUCUGACGCACAGACUCGGGCUCAGUGCUGCACUGGUAACCUUUAGAAAGGGAGAGAAUAAUCUCCAGCUGCUGCAGACGCUGAGAGUGCAACUUCCAGCAUGAAAAGUGGGGCACUGGUGAACAGCCGCCAUGCCCUGAGGUGAUUCCUGGCACAGCUUUUUGAACUCCCAUUGUCCAUCCUCAGAAACACUGCGCUAAGCCCAGACAGGGCUUGAGCAAGGCACGGCCUGGCUCUCAUACAUUGUCACAGGAUAUCACACAGAGAGUCAUCAUGUGUGAACUGCACAAAUAAAACACUGCAAAGCUAAAAGGGGCAACUGUGGUAAUGCUUUACAACACAGGAUCACCUUUCGGCUAACAUUCUAGCACACAGUAUUGUUGAGUGACAGUGUAUUUGUAAAACAAACACUGUAAGUGUUCAUCUGUUGAGAUUCCAACUUACUAAUUCAUUAAGUAGGCCAAGCUAGUGUUGCCACACUUAAAUAUAGCUUGGAAUUUAAUUUUCUUCUCCUUUUCUGCUUCUAUUUCUUCAUGUAACUGAUACGAUCAUCUUGGAGUUUCCUUCUAAAAUUUGCUUAUAUUUGUGCUAUUUACAGCAAAGCUGACAUUAAGAAAAUCCACGAGCAACAGGCCCCAUUUCAAGUGGAGACUAAUACAACUCCUGGCUUCUCCUGGCAUAAGAUGGUAAGAGAGGAGCAGCCAAGAUCCCUGUGUGAUGCUGCAGCUCUGACAAUCCUCAGAUGAGCCCAUCAAACCUGACAAACCAGAGGAGAUGGUAGGAACAUACAGGGUCACAAUACACUUGGGGCCUGUAAGUAAAGCUGCUGCCACAUCAGCAAGGGCUUGGCCCCUCCUCAAUGACUUGAGCCCAUCUGUGUCAAGAGCAUCACUGGGAAUUUCCAGCAAAGUUCAUUUAUCAGCAAGUGGAAGAAGCUCCUGAGGCCUGUGCUCAGUUCACUGGAGAGACGAGUCUGAGCUUUGGGUUCUGAGAAGCCAAUGACAGCUAUGGCAGCCCGGCCCCAUGAGCUGGUCCUGGGGCUGCUCCCGCUCCUGCCAGCACUUCCCAUCCCCAGAAAUGCGCUGAUCCGCCAGCCUCACUGCCAGAGCACCAGGAGGAGCUGGCUGUCCCCACAUACAGUCCCUGUUAAUGGAGUAUGACAGGAGAGACUGAAGCGUGCAACUGUGCAACCAAAGAACCUGAGGCAGCUUCACUUCUGAGCUCAGGAUGGGAAUGAAAUGGCACAGCACGAGGUAAUUCCCACCACAGCUCCUGAUGUCCCUAUGCAGCAUCCAGACCUCACAGUCCCUCUUUGCUGAAGCCCAGGAGAUAUUGUCUAGGGGUACACAAAAGAAGGAUGGAAUGGAUUACUGAACAGUUGAGAUGCUUCAGAAAAAUAAAGUUAUCGAGCACAGAAACAGUUCCUCAUGUUGGCCUUGGUGCACUUGAGAGCUCUUCCAUUUUGAUAACAACUUACUCGUGAGCUACUGCUGAGUAGGGGUUUACACCAGGCACAAAUGCACUGUAAGGAAUCUGAAUUUUUGCACAGCAGCAGACCACAACAGAGAAGUAAUCCCUUGUUUUUUGGAAAGAAUAUUUAUCUUAUCUAGCUAAAGUAAACCUGACUUUUUGCACCUGGUCAGCUCCCUGAAAACCACUCCAGUUGCUCCCUGGGGAGCAGCUCACUUCCUUCCCAGCAAAAGACGUCAGCAUAAUGAACUGCAGAGAGAUUAGGCACAUCCACAGGUUUAUUUUAAAUCCCAUGAUUGAGAGAGAAAAAGUGAGACUGGGGGAAUGGGUCAGCAGGAAAUUGUGCUUUUUAGAUAAACUGGCCUCUUGUAGCAAUGAGAAGCCAGCAUAUGAUGAGCAGACUGAGCAGCAAGAGAGAGAUGCAGGCAGGGAAGGCUCAAGGAUGACAUCAAGGAUGCCAUCCUGAUGAGUGGAGGUGCUUCAGAAGAGUCAGAAAUGUCUCACAUUUCCACUCAGGUGAGCACUCAAGUGCUCUGGUCAGCAGUAAUUGUUAGACAUGUUACAUGUUUGUUACCUGCUACAAAGAAUUGUCUCUUGUAUUAAAAAGACAGCUGAAAAAC